UCGAACGUAAGAUGACUGUAGGUGAAAGCUUACAUCUCUUCGGAGCAUUUUACGAGGUGCUGCAUGGUUGUCGUCAGCUCGUGCCGUGAGGUGUCGGGUUAAGUCCCAUAACGAGCGCAACCCUACCCUUUAGUUGCCAUCAGGUAAUGCUGGGGACUCUAAAGGAACUGCCUACGCAAGUAGUGAGGAAGGCGGGGAUGACGUCAAAUCAGCACGGCCCUUACGUCCAGGGCUACACACGUGCUACAAUGGCCGAUACAGAGGGCAGCUACCUGGUGACAGGAUGCAAAUCUCCAAAGUCGGUCUCAGUUCGGAUCGGAGUCUGCAACCCGACUCCGUGAAGUUGGAUUCGCUAGUAAUCGCGCAUCAGCCAUGGCGCGGUGAAUACGUUCCCGGGCCUU
RNAcentral lists this ribosomal RNA (401 nucleotides) under uncultured Sphingobacteriales bacterium. Its description in RNAcentral is "bacterial SSU rRNA". It matches the Rfam family "Bacterial small subunit ribosomal RNA", at positions 981 to 1382 of the family's 1533-position model. The record is from RNAcentral. Lineage: Bacteria; Pseudomonadati; Bacteroidota; Sphingobacteriia; Sphingobacteriales.